UACGGCGGGCGCAAGCGUUGUUCGGAAUCACUGGGCGUAAAGCGCGUGUAGGCGGCUUGGUAAGUCGGGUGUGAAAGCCCGGAGCUCAACUACGGAACUGCAUUCGAAACUACCUCGCUCGAGUCCCGGAGAGGGUGGUGGAAUUCCCGGUGUAGAGGUGAAAUUCGUAGAUAUCGGGAGGAACACCCGUGGCGAAGGCGGCCACCUGGACGGUGACUGACGCUGAGACGCGAAAGCGUGGGGAGCAAACGGG
Molecule: ribosomal RNA, 253 nt
Filed under: uncultured bacterium
Lineage: Bacteria
Description: partial 16S ribosomal RNA
Rfam family: Bacterial small subunit ribosomal RNA
Source: RNAcentral